Molecule: ribosomal RNA, 329 nt
Filed under: Polemon notatus
Lineage: Eukaryota; Metazoa; Chordata; Lepidosauria; Squamata; Lamprophiidae
Description: partial 12S ribosomal RNA
Source: RNAcentral
UAGAAACUUAAAAUUUAAAAGACUUGACGGUACUUCACACCACCCUAGAGGAGCCUGUCCAAUAACCGAUAACCCACGAUCAACCCGACCUUUUCUAGCCCCCAGUCUAUAUACCGCCGUCGCCAGCUUACCUUGUGAAAGAAGUAAAGUGAGCCCAACAGCACUGCACUAACACGACAGGUCGAGGUGUAACUUAUGAAAAGGGACAAGAUGGGCUACAUUUUCUAACCCAGAACAAACGAAUAAACUAUGAAACUAGAAACUGAAGGCGGAUUUAGCAGUAAGCCAAGAACAACAUACUCAGCCGAAACAAACGCAAUGAAGUGCGU